RNAcentral lists this ribosomal RNA (515 nucleotides) under uncultured bacterium. RNAcentral describes it as "bacterial SSU rRNA". It matches the Rfam family "Bacterial small subunit ribosomal RNA", at positions 76 to 587 of the family's 1533-position model. The record is from RNAcentral.
GACUUCGGUCUGGUGGCGAGUGGCGAACGGGUGAGUAAUGCAUUGGAACGUACCGAGUAGUGGGGGAUAACUAGUCGAAAGAUUAGCUAAUACCGCAUACGCAUUGAGAUGGAAAGCGGGGGAUCUUAGGACCUCGCGCUAUUUGAGCGGCCAAUGUCUGAUUAGCUAGUUGGUGGGGUAAAGGCCUACCAAGGCGACGAUCAGUAGCGGGUCUGAGAGGAUGAUCCGCCACACUGGGACUGAGACACGGCCCAGACUCCUACGGGAGGCAGCAGUGGGGAAUUUUGGACAAUGGGCGAAAGCCUGAUCCAGCCAUGCCGCGUGUCUGAAGAAGGCUUUCGGGUUGUAAAGGACUUUUGUCAGGGAAGAAAAGGUGAUUGCUAAUAUCAGUCGCUGAUGACGGUACCUGAAGAAUAAGCACCGGCUAACUACGUGCCAGCAGCCGCGGUAAUACGUAGGGUGCGAGCGUUAAUCGGAAUUACUGGGCGUAAAGCGAGCGCAAACGGCUUUGUUAA